GUCCCUGUCUCUGUCCCGGUGAGAGAACUCCACGGUCUGACCCAUCCUCUGUCCCGGCGGCCAGCUCCCCAAAUCUCCAAAACCUUCCCCCUCACUCCAGCACUGAUGGGCCAUUAGCAUGGAAUGCAGCCUGGCCAGCCAUUCCUUUCGUAAGGCUAAUUGAUUCCCUUCCCCCUUCCCUAUUCCAACUCUGUUUCUCUUACAGGGAAGCAGGGAAAGAAAAAUUUCUCUCUCAGAUUUAUAACCUAUAACACUAGAGAUGGCAUCUUGAGCAACAACUGUAACUCUUGUCUUCAUGGGACAAUGGAAGAAUGUGUCAGGGAGUGGUCCUUGGGUCCAGAAGUGCCAAGGCAGCUUAGAAAGGUUACUACAGACUGAAGAAAUAAUACUCACAGAAUGGCAAAGUAUUAAAGCAUCUGCCAGUUUUGAAGCACAUUCUUUGGGUUUAGAUUAUUUAGCAGUGAAUGUGAAAGUCCUGCACAGAGAACAACUCUUCUCUUGCUUGCACUAGUGAACAAUUAUACUGAUGUUAAUAAUUACUUCAGAUGUAUCCUGUGUGACUUGGAACAAAACCUUGCUAGGACUUUAGAUAUGUGUUUUAGACAAUAUUCCAGUAUGCUUUGCUGUAAACAAGACUGAAAAUUUUCAGUUGUUGUACUGAAUUACUGAAAUGAACUGGGAUUUGCUCAACCAAUUUGAAAUGUAAUCAGAGAUCAGCCUCCCUGGGCUGUCCUUGACAUUUUGUGGUGGACUAACCACAGCUUCCUGCAACAGGUCACAUUAGUACUAAACCCACAAGCAGCUUUCAAGCCAGAGAGCUGGAUAGGUACAGCUCCUGACAGUACACUCACUUCUUUUGGCACUCAGGUACAAUAAGGAUAUUGUUCCUUUAAUGCUUAGCUUUCCUUUUAAGAAGUAUGUGAGAUUUCAGCCAAUGCUCCGCAACCAACGAUUAGUUCAGGAUGAAUGUACUUAACUCAGAAUUUAGCUGGAAAGGGCCCAAGUAGAUGCAAUCAAUUUUCUACUAAAUCCACUUCCUUCCUCUCUUCUCUACCCGGCAUGAGACAUCAGCUCACCACUCCAGCCAGUGGUGACUGAGACAGUGCAAACCUCUGCCUUCAGCCAUGCUCUUAUCAAACCUGGUUAUUUCUUUCCAUUUCCCCUGGUUUUUGGGUUUGGCACAUCCUGUUCACUAGCCCAGUGUUUGGGCUUGGGGGAAAAGGCUCUAGAAGCAAAUAUGAAAAAGCAGCUAUCUAGCAAACCACAAACCCCAAAGGUACUGACUGCUGUGACCCCCAAAGUUAAUCACUCAGAACUGCACAGGAUCAGCUGCAGAGCUCCACUGAUAAAGGACAAUUUCCCCCUCUGCACGACUCUCAGAGGAGCCUCCCCCAGCUUUCAAUGUGCAGGCACUGUGUGGAUGUGCCAGCUCGGUGUGUGACACCUCUAUGUGCUGACACCAAAUUAUCUCCACCAGCAUCAGCUGAACACCACAAGACUUGUGGGAGAGCAGCACCAGCCCCUCUCCCUGAACCAGCCUCAUGGCCUGGAAUAGCACAGUCAUAACAACAGGGAUGAUUUACUACUUGAAUUUAACCAGGGCAACAAAAAAAUAACAUCUGUUCAAAAACAAGGCUUAGAAAACAUGAUCUCUGGCUCUCACCUACAUGCUUUCUUAAGAAUUUAAGUAGAUGAUUUCCAACCUCAUUUUCCCAAGUGUAUACAUUCUCCUUUGUUAAAUAACUCGUGCAAUCAGCAGAACAAGUCCUGGUGGCUCUGUAUUCUUUAGGCUUUCUUCCUCUAGAAUGGUGGUGUCCAAAUGUUUUUGAUGAUGCUCCCCUACCAAUAAAUAAUGUUUGCACAUGCACCCUCAGGAUGUGUAUAUUUAUAAAUUAUAUACAUCUACUAGGGAAGUAUUUUCUUCCUGCACCCUAAAGGACCAUCUUGAACACUCUGUGGGGUGUGUGGACCCCACUUUGGAGACUGCUGCUCUAGAGACCACUGGACUGUUAAUACAAAUUCAGCAAAUUGUUUCCAUGGGUCUGAAUUUACACUGCCAUGGUUCCUACAGUUGGUAAUCCACUGACUCACUCAGUGCAGUUAUUUGCUCUAUUUCCAGGAAAAGUUUUGCAGGGAACACAAUUGGAAGAGUGAGAGUGCAGAGCACCCAGGCAGCCAGGGGAGUGAUGUGUACUGAGCUUCUGUCACUGUAUCUCAUUUAAUGUCAAGACACAGCACAUUUGUGUUUUACAACACAUUGACAGACAACCAUUGAGACAUAACAGUCAGGGAUCAAGAAUGAUUCCUAAAUGCAUUCCUGCUUUUAAAUAUGCACUUAAUUUAGAUGCCUUUCACUCAGUACAGGCACAGUUAAAAGAGCUGCAGGUAUGAGUGGCUGUGUGCUGGCACAGAGUCCCUGCACAGCCGAGUCAGCCCUGCUGAACCCACCAGCCACUGCUGCUGCUUCUUACAAACAUACUUUAGAAGGGUCUCUCCUCCAAUUCUCUGCCUUUUUCUUGCCUAGCUCACCAUUCACUUUUGUUGCUACUACUCCAAACACAGUGCAAGUUCACAGGAGUUUGGCAAACAAAGAGUUAAGGCUGGAAGGUUUUAGGCAAGAAACUCAGCUUGGGGGCUGGGGGAGAGGAGGAGAAAGCAGGAAGCCUAAGGGGGCAUCCAGAGCAGGGAGCACUGCUGGAAGGCCCUUCCCCAGCCCCGUAGGCUGCCUGCCUGCCCCAGGCUGGGCUGCAGGAGCUGGACAGCGGGAGCAGGCAGGGGAUGAUGCACUGCCAGGGACUGACCAGCUGGGUCACAGGGGAGGAGCAGGACCAGCAGAUAUGGAGGUGAGGAUAAGGUUGUGUGUGGGGCUGUGAACAGGAAGGAAUACAGGGGUUUGUGCAUCUCUAGAGGGAGUCUGUGAAGACAAAAAGCAGCAGGACAGUGCACAGAGCAGCGAGGGACCCCCUGGCUGAGCACCCAGCACUGCUGUGCCACCUGCACUCCAUGGGAUGAGUGGGCAGAGGGAAGGGAGGGUCUCAGUGGGACUUAAACCUGGUUCUCUAAGCCUGCCCCAAACACCACAAGGCAGCAACUGCUCAUGGGGGACUUUGGGGAUGACUUUGCAAGGCCCCAGUGAGCUCACAAACAACCGAGUUUACUGUGGGGUUUAAACCCCAUCUCAGAGGCCACGACUGUCACCAGCUGCCCCUGCCCCCUCCUGCCCCAGGCUCUCCUCAAACAGCACAAGGUGACCAGAGCAUUUGCUAAACCACUGGGCAGAAGAUGCUUUGAGGAUAUAAACACUUCCUGCCUCCAGCAGGCUCCCAGGCUACCACACCUCUCUAGUCACGUCACACACAAACAAAAACUUAAACACACUAAGCCAAACCUUCACCUGUCACACAGCUGUGUGGGACACGGCUCCAAGACCCAAAUGCCCUUUGCCAUUCCAGCUUGCAGGGCAGUCGUUUAUCACUCAGAACAGCAAUGUUGGGGGUAAAAUGCUGAAGCCCCUGAGCACCCACUGCCCCAAAAGAUGGUAGGGGGUUAUUCUGGCCCAGGACCACACGACACAAACCUGUUCACAAGCACUAAAUGUCCAUGAGAAGAGGAACAAGAGGACCAAGUGUCCAACAAAUGCUCAACACCAUUCCCAAAGGAACCCCUCCUCACAUGCCUUGAGCCUGCUGGGAUGUUUGGGAGAGGCAAGGAACACAGAACUAUACCUAUGUUAUCACACUCCUGCCUCCUCCACCACUUGAAGAAGGGAAUUCUCAUUAAUUUGGAUGUUGAGCCAGGGGAGCUGAUGAGCAAGGCAAGGAGACAGGCCAUGUGAACCAGCCUCAGCCUGCUGUCCCCCCACCAGCCCAACACCAUUUCCAGUCACACCCCAACACCACAGUGUGUCUGUCACAGGAUCUCUGCUGGCUGCCCACCUGUGCCCCAUCCGAUACCUGGGAACUGCUCCACGGAGCCAACAACCCCAGAAAUGGAGCAGCAGUGACACAGCUGGGCUGGGCCCCGGCCACCACAGAGGCACAGCAGGGGGCUGCUGCUUCAGGUUUGUCUUUAGAAAGCAUUUACUGUACCUAACUCAAGACUGUGGGAUCCAGUUUACAACCCUGAAGAUUUUUGUGUCGGUUCAAUGCAGGGCAUCCACGUACAGGUUUCACACUGGUAAAAUACUAAGAAUUUCACAGUAAAACCAUAAAAUAAUUCCCUAAAUUUUCUGGCAUGGUGUUCAUAAUCAAAGCAAUAUUGCAAAACUACCUGCUUUUUAUAUAGCCACAGGGAAGUGGCUCACCUGGGGCAAACCACAGCAGUGAUGUCAGUGUGAAGGUCCUGCUGCCCAGCUAAAAGCUCACACUGCUCUCCACAAAGUCAGGAGUACUUCAGCACUAACUGAAACUGGAUUUGGCCAUGAGAGAUGAUAAAUCUGAAAAGUCCCAGCAGAAGCUCUGGUCAAAGGCAGGAUUUUCAGGAAAUGAGAUAUUUAUUGGAAGAGGGGGGAAAAAAAAGCUUUCUGGCCAAGAUCAAAUUUACUGAGUUUCUUCCUGUGCUGUGUUUUAAGGAACAGAGAAGAGUGGGUGGGAACAAGAGCUCUUCGUUACCUGAGUUAAAACCAAACUAAAAUUUCCUGAGAAGUCCAAGGGUAGGAGAAAACAUCCACUGCUGGUAAAUAACUCUGACCUGCAGAAGUCAACUUACCAGGACCAAGCUGGUCAUUCUAUACCAGUAAGUUUAUAAGCAGGCAAAGCAUUCAGGUCAUGUAAAUACCAGGGGUCACCAAAGCACUUUCCUUGGUGCCCAAGGCCAGCCCACUGCAGCUGCAGUCAGCCAAUCCUCCCGAGCCCCCUCACUUCAAGCAGGAAAAAUGCCUGGUUGUUUAUGUAGGAUUCCUGCCAAGCCUGGUUCUCUGAUAAGCUUCUCUGGUGCAUUUGUGUCUCACAUCCGACUCAGAGUCCUCAGAAUACUGGAGACAGCAUUCCUUGGAUACUGAAAAUAAAUUAAAAACACAACACUGGGCUUGGACAGAGGAAUGGGAACGUUAUUGACGUGGCCCAGGCACUCAGGGCUCUGGGGAGCAGUGCUGGGAAAGCAGUCUUUUUAAAAUGUUACAUUAGUCCAUGUAUUUAAUGACAUAUAAUCCUAAAAAUGGUCCCCCAUAAACUGUAAAUACGCAUUAUUUGAGUAAGUAAUUAGUUUCAGUAGCAUGCUGCAGCAGCUGUAUGGCUGGGCUGCCAGACACUGCAAGUGUUUCCUCCAGCAAAUGCCUCUAUUUGUGAUAUUACAAUAAUUACUUACUGAUUUAUAGAACUUCUCACUUCCCCAGUUCUUUGACCUCAGGAUCUCCACAUAAUUUCAAAGUAUUAAUGAAAGCAGCAUGGUGUCACCCAUGUGAGGGAGGUGACAAGAAUUAUGUCCACAUGGGCCAAGGCAGACAGGCUGAGUGAUCUGCCCAAGGGGACAAGGAACCCUGUGGCAAGUGGACUAAAACCCCAUCCUCUGACUCACAGGGCUGAUCUACCCCUUGGUGGCCACCAACCCAUCAGUCCUCUAAGAAUUUGUUCUCUUUGCCAAUUUGGUCCUUUGCCAAUACCCUCUGCCAGGAGGAAGCCUGAGAGACAGAAUGCUGAAGUUUGCUGCCACUGUGUAUCUUAUAAGUGUGAAGACAAACUUUAGCAAAAAAAAAAAAUUGAAUCUUUUAUUUUGUUUUGCACGUGGCAGGAUUGUUAUGGGAAACAGCUUUUCUAGACCCACAAGAGGUAAAAGCAUCCUUAAUAAGGUGAAGAGUAGCAGUGAAAACCUUGAUCUGUAAAAUGAAUUUGUAAGGUAAAUCCCAGGCUGCUUUCUGAUGUGGAACUUCAGUGUGUUUUCAGGCCACACAGACAUGUUUCCCUCGAAAUAAGCAGUAAACAAGAAUUACUGUUAAGGCUGAGUUUGUAACCCAGCCUGGACGUGCACCAGGUGCAAAGAGAGUCCUGUCAGAGAGCACAGGAGGAUGAAGAUAACAGAAGCAACAAAACCAGAUUUCCUCUUCACACCUUGUCCUUUGCCAAGAGCUCCUGACCUUGUUAGGCAGGACUUGCAGAGCUGGACUGAGAGGUGCUGUGUGGCCUGGCAGGAGAGGAGAGAUCCUGUCACUGCACUGGCACCAGGGAAGGGACACAACAAGACCGAGACUGGAGACAGAAAACAGGUAACAGGAAUAAGAACAGAAAACCAUCUGGAAGUAUGGAAAAGAGCUUUGCUGGUGAGAAAGGACAGACUGAAGUUGCCAUGGCUGCAAAGUGGUAUAAUCUCACCUCCUUGAUAUGGGGAUGAUGAACUGCCAACAGUUUGGAGUCCUUAGACCCUGGGAACUCAGGGAUCCAUGAAAAGCCUAAGAUAUGCAAAACAAAUCAAAAUGGGAAAGUACCAGGGUAAAAUAAGAUUUCAAACAGUGCCAAAGGCAAGAAGACAAGCUCCCUAUUUUCUGGAGAAAAAGGUACUGACAUGCAGAUAAGAUCUUGACUAAAGAAAUCCAUUGUGCUUGCUGGAGAUUAAAAACAAAAGAUGCCCACACAGAAAUAACAGUAAGUCUGAAUUCUUCAGUAUCAGAGCAGGCACAGGCCAGAGCAAAUGCAGGCAGAAAGAAGGGAAAAGAGAACCCCUGGGAGAUGGAAAUCUUCACAGAGGAUGCAUCAAAAACUGAAGUUCAAUCCUUCCAACACACCAGGGAAACCAUCAGGUAGUGGUGGCCCACAGAGCACACCCUGGGUCUGUCCAGGGUGAGGUCACCCAAGGGCAGGACAAGGGAAAGGUGGAGGUUCCCCCAAAUGACAGCAGAGUAUCCAGGUGAUCCGUGGCCAUAGGGCAGGCUAAACACAUGGGAGCCUGAACAUGUUUGUGUACAGGGACAGGUUUGUGGCUGUCACAAAAUUUACUGAGACAGGCCCCGGGAAAGAAAUGAUCAGUUGGUUGUGGGUGAAAAAACAGAUUCACUGAGUGCUGAAGGACAACACUGAUUAUCUGGCAAGUGUGGAGAUAGAAUAGAUUUAUUCUUGAAGAAGUGAUGAUGACCUAUAUUAAAAAGAAAUUAUUUUGGAGUUUGCAGGUUUAGUUUUUCAGAUGAGUAAAGAUCAAGGACAUCACUAAAGCAUAGAUUAGGCACUUUGCAAAAUACACAGGGACAACAUAGAGCAGAAACUUAGGUCAUUAAAAUUACCGGAAGCCAACCCUGUGCUUCUCCUUUCACUCACUCUCUUCUUCACUUUUCCCUUCCACCUGUUUUCCCCCUUUGUUUUUAGGUAACACUUAAAAAUUACAGAACCUGGAAAUGGGAAACAGAAACAUCUGUUGGUAAUGCCAGUGACUUGCCUGUGCUCUGUUCUGGAUUAUCUGGAUUUCUUCCCCUUUGAGAGAUGAACUCAACAGAAGCCCAGGGGAGUUUAUUCUUUUGGAGAAAAUGAGGUGUGUUCCAAAAAACAUUUUAAAUGGGCAGAGGGGAAGGCAAGAAAAGAAGGAAAAAAAAGAGCUAAAGGAAAGACUGAACACCCAAGAGAUGUGGGUUCCAGAUAAGACAAUUGAGACCUGCAGAUAAUAAACACUGACAAGGAAAUUUUAGCAAAUCUUGUUACAGGAGGAAAGAGGUGACAUUUCAAACCCACAAAACUGUGCAAGUUCUCUCUCUCUGUUUUUAUUUACAGAAAUAAAAAACAGAGGCAGAAACCUUGUUAAUUAGAGCAUGGUUUUUGUACUUUAUGUGUUUUCCAAGCCCUGAAAGGAUCACAGGUGCCGUCAGUGAUUGGUUUCACAUUAUGAAUACAGAAAUAUUGUGGAAGGAAAACAUCCAUGGUCAGUCCAUCAACACAGAGAAAAGUUUCCGUCAUUAGUUGCCAGGCAACCCCACCAAUUAAAAUAACCAUCAAAUGCCACACAUUUCAUGCUGGAAUCAUUAAUAGCAGAAUGCAAUUACAACCUUUCAAGGAAACAAGGAGACAGAGACAAACCACCAGGCAAGUACUGAUCACAUGCCCUCUGAUCAUCAGGAACAGGGAGUGGAAAUGUUUCACAGUUCCCUUUGGUCAGCUCCCCAUCACCAUCACCCUUCCCUGGGCAUCAGCCUCCAGCUACCACAGCCACAGCAGCCCUCAGAGACGUGGAGAGUGACACUCUAUGCUAUACACCCCCCCCCCAACCAAGACAGCUUUAAACACAUGCAUCUUCAAGUAUCUGAGAUGUCCCUGUGGAAGUAAGGCCAAUCUGAUGAGCCACCCCCAAAAAAACAGGUUCUCUCCUAGAGCUGAACUAACUUAAUUUAAAGUAGUCACAGAAUUGAAAACAUCUCCUGACACAACACCUCCUCCAGCAGUAGAGUCUGUAGAAGGGCCACAGCACUGGUCUAUCUAAAGCCCAGCACAUAGAGCAGUGCCCUGCUGGGCCAGAGCUACCUGGGAUAACAGAUAGCAAUGCAGAGAAACUACAAAGUGCCUCCCAAAAUAUAAAACCCAAUUAAAUAAAUUCUAAAUAAAGGAGAUGGUCAGAGUAUGGUGCUAACAACACCAAGGUUGUGGGUGUGAUCCCUGUAUGGGCCAUUCUCUCAAGAGCUGGACCCAAUGACUGCGGGUCCCUUCCAGCUCAAACUGUGAUCCCAUCUCAAACACUUCUGAUGACCCUUUUCCCAUCCCAUUGUUUUUGUUCUUCUAAAGCCUGGGGUAUUAUCAGACUAACCAGGGAUCAAGAUAAAGAAAACACUCUUCUACCAAUCAGUACCCAAAGGUACUGGGGUUCUUACAUGGGCUGGUGUCCAACUUUGACUUUUAAUCACUGGAAGAUUACAUUCCUUUGUUGAGACUCAUUCAUGGUUCAGUGUUGCACAAGGUGAGCCUGGACCAUCUGAAGGCAGCUGUCAUCUCUGCCAUCCACGGCCUCUUCCUGCAGCCAGCACCUCCCUUCCCUGAGUGCUGCACUGGGGGGUGCCUGGGACUGCAGUUGCAGACAUACUUGGAAUAGCUUCGAACUAUCUGCCUUGAUAGGUGUUAAAAUGGGAAGCGUGGGGCUGAGCACAGGCUGUGCCUUAUCCCAGAGCAGCAGGAUGAGUCAGGCAGAGCUCUGCCCUCCUGCAGCACUGGGUGUUAUCUCACUGACACGUCUACACCAACCGCAGCUUCCGCGGCACAGGCACCAAAUCCUCUGCUCCCUGCUCGUAACCAACCUCCCACUUCUCCACACUCCUUGGCUUUUCCCGUGAAUCACCCCUCCAAGGAUCUGCCCCACAUGCACCAGGACCUGCUGCCAGCUCCAGUUAGGGCUUGGAAAGCACCAAAUGUUCAGGUGGCCAUGGAACCAACCCAGACACUGGGCUGAGAUGUGGAUGAGCAACAACGGGAGUUAUGCAAGUCCAGGGCACCCAGCUCUCACACCAUGGGGGCCACGGAGGAGUGUUCCAACAUGCACAGCACUGAAUCACUGUCAGCCUGUCUUCCCUGAGCACCAGGUAUUAGCCAAUGGCUCUGGCAGGAUCACAGAGCAAAAAUCCCACAACUUCGGUCUGCUCCAACAGACUGUGGUUAGAGAAUGGCAGUGAGAAGUGUGCAGGGACAGUGGCUACCCAGCAGACCUUCACUGCAUGGCGGUGUACCACUCACAGCAAUGCUCAUCAGCUCCUCACCCUGAAGUGCUCUAGCAGUGUAUCCUUGAUGCCCAGAAGAGUUGCAUAAAGCAGCUGUAGAAAGAUGAACAGGUACAGAACCUUCAGCUGAGUCACUGCCAAGUGAGCCACGAGGUUAAAAGCCCCUGACACAAACACACAUUUGUACCAUUGCGAUUAUCAACUCCGAAUUUUGACACUGAAUUUUGUUUUAUGUGAAAAUCACAUUCACAGGCAAUUUAAGGCUACAAAGCAAGUACUAGCAGUGUACAAUUUGGAUGCAGCAACUCAUGCCAAACUUAGAAAUAUACUGUGGGGACACAACAAACAUGAAUUGAAAAUAAAUCUUCCACUGGGAAUUUGGGUAUUUUAAAAACUCACCAACUGCUGAUUAAUAUACACUGAAGGGACACAGCCCCCUUAAGAUGUUCUAUGUCUUACUACCACCAAGAGCAAGCAAAGGUUUGACUUGAGGCAGCAAAUACGCAAAAGGCCAUUUCCAGUGCCAAGAGGAACUUCUCCCAACAAGCUGGGACACGAGCAGCCUCCUAUUAAUAGACAUGGACAUACAGUAGCACCGAGACUUCAGACAGAAGGGAGCUGUUGUCUCAAGGGGAACAGGCAGGUUGUGUCCAUGAACCAAUUCCCCUUUCACAUCAGCUGGAGGGCAGGGGCUCAUUCAGAGGUGCCCUUUACCCAGGUAACAGUAAUACUGACACAGGUGUCCCAGCUGGGCUGUCCCUCGCCGGGAUCCUCCUCCCAGAGGCUGGUGUGAGUUUGAGAGGGCUGGACAAAGGCUGGGGCAGCAGCAGUGCCUGUCACCAGCUGAGCUGUGACACCUCCCUGAGCUGCUCCUUAGAUCUGAACUGCUGCAUGAACCUCCCUGAGCGCUCUGGUCGAUCAGCAGCUACCAGGUAAGGAAUGAGCUGCACACCCUCGGGAUACACAGUCUGCUUUCAGCCUCUGAUUGACCGUGCUCUGACUUCCUGUGCCUCCAACCCAGCAGCAAAAGUGCAAAUCAAAGACGAAUGGCCCGUUCAAACGUUUGCCUUCGUGCAGGAGAGCGGGACACGUCCCUGAUUUCUGUGGUGAAAUACAUCUCAGCUUUGAGAGCAGGGACUUCAAACCCUCAGCUCAACAAAGCUCAUUCCCUGACCAUCUCCUGCACCCUGUCACUGGUGAACUUUGCUUUUUUUGAGGAGAUCCUGUACAACUCUGAAUCAACAUUACUGAGGUUUUUUCCCCAAAGUUGCCAGAAUGUAGGAAGACAAUGAAGAGGUUUACCAUCUGAGCAUUUUACCAAAAUGCCUAAAGGGGACAGAAGUCUCCUGUUUAUUUACUUUGUAUUUGAAAUAUUUCUCCAUUGUUCUGUGUUUGUGCCCUCAAGAACUAAUCACCAUCUCUGCAGGAGAUCCCCAAAAGUCCACCCUUCCAUCCUCACACCCCUACCCUGGGCAAGGCUGGAGCUCUCACAGAAGUGCCCAUGGGUGUAUUUUUGGUUUUCCUCUUAACUGCAAGGAAGACAAACCCUCCAGCACUGCUGUGAUAUGUGCUGGUGGGAGUGGGAAAGGACAGCACAGCAGCGAGCCCUCUGUGCUCCCAGGAAGGCACGGGAGGGCCUGUCCUGCCACACGCUGCCCUUUUCACCCAGGGCACCCUGACAGACAGCACCUGGCACUGAAACCAAAGAUCAGCUCCAAGAAGUGCCUAAGAAAGGGCUCUGACUAGGGCAGAAUUUCCACUUCUCUGCACAACUGCACUUGUCUUUGCUGAGUUGAAAACACUCACUGCCAAGUGAUGAAAUGAGGCCUUGGAGGCUCCAUCACUCAUUAUCACAUUUCAGCCUGAGUGGUCUCCAAACCACAACUUUUCCCAAGGGUUUGAAAUAUUAUUUUAUUUAUUUUUUAAUUGUAGCUGGUUAAAUAUUGGGCCCUUAUCUAAAUCAGAUGUCUUUAGGUACAGAAUUAUUGUUUUCGGUUAUUGCCUUUUACUCUCUACAGCCAUUAUAUGGAAAGUAAGACUGAAAACUGCUGGAGGAAAGUUCAGGUCAUUGUUAUUUGGGGGGG
Pseudopipra pipra is the source of this 11697-nucleotide long non-coding RNA. RefSeq lists it as uncharacterized. The transcript has 2 exons. The record is from RefSeq and is a predicted model, not a curated record. NCBI's taxonomy places the organism in Eukaryota, Metazoa, Chordata, Aves, Passeriformes, Pipridae.